This 457-nucleotide ribosomal RNA is filed under the name uncultured organism. RNAcentral describes it as "partial 16S ribosomal RNA". It matches the Rfam family "Bacterial small subunit ribosomal RNA", at positions 334 to 799 of the family's 1533-position model. The record is from RNAcentral.
CACUCCUGCGGGAGGCAGCAGUGGGGAAUAUUGCACAAUGGGCGCAAGCCUGAUGCAGCGACGCCGCGUGGGGGAUGAAGGCCUUCGGGUUGUAAACUCCUUUCGCUAGGGACGAAGCUUUUUUGUGACGGUACCUAGAUAAGAAGCACCGGCUAACUACGUGCCAGCAGCCGCGGUAAUACGUAGGGUGCGAGCGUUGUCCGGAAUUACUGGGCGUAAAGGGCUCGUAGGUGGUUUGUCGCGUCGUCUGUGAAAUUCUGGGGCUUAACUCCGGGCGUGCAGGCGAUACGGGCAUAACUUGAGUGCUGUAGGGGUAACUGGAAUUCCUGGUGUAGCGGUGAAAUGCGCAGAUAUCAGGAGGAACACCGAUGGCGAAGGCAGGUUACUGGGCAGUUACUGACGCUGAGGAGCGAAAGCAUGGGUAGCGAACAGGAUUAGAUACCCCGGUAGUCCCAUG